UGGGGAAUAUUGGACAAUGGGCGCAAGCCUGAUCCAGCCAUGCCGCGUGUGUGAAGAAGGCCUUUUGGUUGUAAAGCACUUUAAGCGAGGAGGAGGCUACUUAGAUUAAUACUCUAGGAUAGUGGACGUUACUCGCAGAAUAAGCACCGGCUAACUCUGUGCCAGCAGCCGAGGUAAUACAGAGGGUGCGAGCGUUAAUCGGAUUUACUGGGCGUAAAGCGUGCGUAGGCGGCUUUUUAAGUCGGAUGUGAAAUCCCUGAGCUUAACUUAGGAAUUGCAUUCGAUACUGGGAAGCUAGAGUAUGGGAGAGGAUGGUAGAAUUCCAGGUGUAGCGGUGAAAUGCGUAGAGAUCUGGAGGAAUACCGAUGGCGAAGGCAGCCAUCUGGCCUAAUACUGACGCUGAGGUACGAAAGCAUGGGGAGCAAACAGG
Molecule: ribosomal RNA, 430 nt
Filed under: bacterium
Lineage: Bacteria
Description: partial 16S ribosomal RNA
Rfam family: Bacterial small subunit ribosomal RNA
Source: RNAcentral